UCCGGUUUGGCACCGGCAGUCUCCCAUGAGUCCCCGGCAUCACCCGCUGGCAACAUGGAAAAGGGGUUGCGCUCGUUGCGCCACUUAAGGCAACACCUCACGGCACGAGCUGACGACGGCCAUGCACCACCUGUGCAAGGCCCUUACGGACCCCGUAUCUCUACGAGAUUUCCCUGCAUGUCAAGCCCAGGUAAGGUUCUUCGCGUUGCAUCGAAUUAAGCCACAUGCUCCGCCGCUUGUGCGGGCCCCCGUCAAUUCCUUUGAGUUUUAGCCUUGCGGCCGUACUCCCCAGGCGGGGAACUUAAUGCGUUAGCUGCGGCACAGACCACGUGGAAUGUGGCCCACACCUAGUUCCCAACGUUUACGGCGUGGACUAC
This 377-nucleotide unclassified non-coding RNA is filed under the name uncultured Actinomycetes bacterium. RNAcentral's name for it is "uncultured actinobacterium contains 16S-23S intergenic spacer region". Lineage: Bacteria; Bacillati; Actinomycetota; Actinomycetes. The record is from RNAcentral.